CCCUGCCGGAUCCUAUCCGACCUACAGCCGCAGUUGCUCGUCUCCGUCCAUGCGCCACUCCAGCUGCUGCACGAAUCAGGCGCUAACAGGAUAUGUUCCGGUCCUCAUCAAGGUACUGUUGGACCUAAGGUCAUAUUAGGUUAUCGUCAUUCCACAUGUUAGCAACCUGUUUUCAUGGGUUUGGCUUUAUUGCACGGGAACUACACUAAUUGAGUUUCUCCGUCCGAUAUGAAUCAGGCGCCAACGACACAGCUGCUUCACUCCUCCUCAAG
Lolium perenne is the source of this 272-nucleotide non-coding RNA. The record is from RefSeq and is a predicted model, not a curated record. Lineage: Eukaryota; Viridiplantae; Streptophyta; Magnoliopsida; Poales; Poaceae.